UACAGAGGGGGCAAGCGUUGUUCGGAAUUACUGGGCGUAAAGGGCGCGUAGGCGGCCUGCUAAGUCGAACGUGAAAUCCCUGGGCUCAACCCAGGAACUGCGUCCGAUACUGGUUGGCUUGAAUCCGGGAGAGGGAUGUGGAAUUCCAGGUGUAGCGGUGAAAUGCGCAGAUAUCGGUAGGAACACCAGUGGCGAAGGCGGUCGUCCUGGGGCAUUCUUGACGCUGAGGCGGCGAAAGCUGGGGGAGCAAACGGG
Molecule: ribosomal RNA, 255 nt
Filed under: uncultured bacterium
Lineage: Bacteria
Description: partial 16S ribosomal RNA
Rfam family: Bacterial small subunit ribosomal RNA
Source: RNAcentral